This 329-nucleotide long non-coding RNA is filed under the name Ananas comosus (pineapple). Its description in RNAcentral is "long non-coding RNA (ACOM_LNC024171)". The record is from RNAcentral. Lineage: Eukaryota; Viridiplantae; Streptophyta; Magnoliopsida; Poales; Bromeliaceae.
GUAGAGAGUUGGUCAGGACGGUAGUCCGAGCUUGGACUCGAGUACGCGGAAUGCCGCGUGUUGGAUCAUGAGAUCGAGAUACACAGGGUGUGUAGUGACCCAACCCGAGGACUUGACGUGGUUUGGGGUUUUGGUUGCUCCUGUUUGGAGUGUGUGCGAAUUUUCAAGUGAGAAUUUUGUCCGGAAAUGAGGAUUGGGUCUACGAUGCGAGCGAGAGACGCUAUGCAUAGUUACGACAGGUUUAGGCGGUAUGCCGACGUAGUAUUACGACCGUUGGUCCACCUGUGAAAGCCGACGUAAUCGGUUUAGCCGAUAACACUGUCGAGGAG